CCACCACCAAAGCAUUCUCUGGUGUUGAAGGCCCUGCAAAGCAGCAUCGCGGUGGCGGAGCGUCGUUUGCGACGCCCAACACACAAAACAAGCGGUGAGUGCUUUGGGGUGGGGUGACUGCGUACCUUUUGUAUAAUGGGUCAGCGACUUAUAUUCUGUAGCAAGGUUAACCGAAUAGGGGAGCCGGAGGGAAACCGAGUCUUAAUUGGGCGUUAAGUUGCAGGGUAUAGACCCGAAACCCGGUGAUCUAGCCAUGGGCAGGUUGAAGGUUGGGUAACACUAACUGGAGGACCGAACCGACUAAUGUUGAAAAAUUAGCGGAUGACCUGUGGCUGGGGGUGAAAGGCCAAUCAAACCGGGAGAUAGCUGGUUCUCCCCGAAAGCUAUUUAGGUAGCGCCUCGUGAACUCAUCUCCGGGGGUAGAGCACUGUUUCGGCUAGGGGGCCAUCCCGGCUUACCAACCCGAUGCAAACUGCGAAUACCGGAGAAUGUUAUCACGGGAGACACACGGCGGGUGCUAACGUCCGUCGUGAAGAGGGAAACAACCCAGACCGCCAGCUAAGGUCCCAAAGUCAUGGUUAAGUGGGAAACGAUGUGGGAAGGCCCAGACAGCCAGGAUGUUGGCUUAGAAGCAGCCAUCAUUUAAAGAAAGCGUAAUAGCUCACUGGUCGAGUCGGCCUGCGCGGAAGAUGUAACGGGGCUAAACCAUGCACCGAAGCUGCGGCAGCGAACGUAUCACCCAAGACAACUUUGCGGAGUUGACGAUUGACGGAGCGAAGCGACGUCAAAGCGUUCAUUAAAGUCGAGUUGGCUUAGGGAUACGUUCGUUGGGUAGGGGAGCGUUCUGUAAGCCAGUGAAGGUGUGUCGUGAGGCAUGCUGGAGGUAUCAGAAGUGCGAAUGCUGACAUAAGUAACGAUAAAGCGGGUGAAAAGCCCGCUCGCCGGAAGACCAAGGGUUCCUGUCCAACGUUAAUCGGGGCAGGGUGAGUCGACCCCUAAGGCGAGGCCGAAAGGCGUAGUCGAUGGGAAACGGGUUAAUAUUCCCGUACUUGGUGUUACUGCGAAGGGGGGACGGAGAAGGCUAUGUUGGCCGGGCGACGGUUGUCCCGGUUUAAGCGUGUAGGCUGGUUUUCCAGGCAAAUCCGGAAAAUCAAGGCUGAGGCGUGAUGACGAGGCACUACGGUGCUGAAGCAACAAAUGCCCUGCUUCCAGGAAAAGCCUCUAAGCAUCAGGUAACAUCAAAUCGUACCCCAAACCGACACAGGUGGUCAGGUAGAGAAUACCAAGGCGCUUGAGAGAACUCGGGUGAAGGAACUAGGCAAAAUGGUGCCGUAACUUCGGGAGAAGGCACGCUGACACGUAGGUGAAGUGAUUUACUCAUGGAGCUGAAGUCAGUCGAAGAUACCAGCUGGCUGCAACUGUUUAUUAAAAACACAGCACUGUGCAAACACGAAAGUGGACGUAUACGGUGUGACGCCUGCCCGGUGCCGGAAGGUUAAUUGAUGGGGUCAGCGCAAGCGAAGCUCCUGAUCGAAGCCCCGGUAAACGGCGGCCGUAACUAUAACGGUCCUAAGGUAGCGAAAUUCCUUGUCGGGUAAGUUCCGACCUGCACGAAUGGCGUAAUGAUGGCCAGGCUGUCUCCACCCGAGACUCAGUGAAAUUGAACUCGCUGUGAAGAUGCAGUGUACCCGUGGCAAGACGGAAAGACCCCGUGAACCUUUACUAUAGCUUGACACUGAACAUUGAGCCUUGAUGUGUAGGAUAGGUGGGAGGCUUUGAAGCGUGGACGCCAGUCUGC
RNAcentral lists this ribosomal RNA (1798 nucleotides) under Salmonella enterica. RNAcentral's name for it is "partial 23S ribosomal RNA". It matches the Rfam family "Bacterial large subunit ribosomal RNA", at positions 1 to 2179 of the family's 2925-position model. The record is from RNAcentral. Lineage: Bacteria; Pseudomonadati; Pseudomonadota; Gammaproteobacteria; Enterobacterales; Enterobacteriaceae.